ACUCCUACGGGAGGCAGCAGUGGGGAAUAUUGCGCAAUGGGCGGAAGCCUGACGCAGCGACGCCGCGUGGGGGAUGACGGCCUUCGGGUUGUAAACCUCUUUCGGCCUUGACGAAGCUCUUCGGGGUGACGGUAGGGGUAGAAGAAGCACCGGCCAACUACGUGCCAGCAGCCGCGGUAAUACGUAGGGUGCGAGCGUUGUCCGGAAUUAUUGGGCGUAAAGAGCUCGUAGGCGGUCUGUCGCGUCGGUCGUGAAAACUUGGGGCUUAACCCUGAGCUUGCGGUCGAUACGGGCAUGACUGGAGUUCGGCAGGGGAGACUGGAAUUCCUGGUGUAGCGGUGAAAUGCGCAGAUAUCAGGAGGAACACCGGUGGCGAAGGCGGGUCUCUGGGCCGAUACUGACGCUGAGGAGCGAAAGCGUGGGGAGCGAACAGGAUUAGAUACCCUGGUAGUCCACGCCGUAAACGGUGGGCGCUAGGUGUGGGGGCCAUUCCACGGUCUCUGUGCCGCAGCUAACGCAUUAA
This 523-nucleotide ribosomal RNA is filed under the name uncultured bacterium. RNAcentral's name for it is "bacterial SSU rRNA". It matches the Rfam family "Bacterial small subunit ribosomal RNA", at positions 335 to 863 of the family's 1533-position model. The record is from RNAcentral.